AUGUAUACAUAUAUAGGCUACAUUUUUGAAACUAUUCAUCUGUUGAUGGACACAUGUUGCUUCCAUAUAUCGGCUAUUGUAAAUAAUGCUACUCAGAACAUUGACAUGCGUGUAUUUUUUCAAAUUUGUGUUUUUCUUUUCUUUGGAUACAUACCCAGGAGUGGAAUUCUGGAUUGUAUGCUACUGCCAUUUUUAAUUUUUGAGAAAUCUCCCAUAAUGUUUUCCACAGUAGUUGUACUAACUUAUAUUCCUACUAACAGUGCAGGAGGGUUCCCUUUUCUCCACAUCCUCACCAAUACUUGUUAUUUAUUGUCUUAUUGUCUUUUCUUUUUUUUUUGGCUGUGCCUGCUGCAUGUUCCCAGGCCAGGGAUCAAACCUGUACCACAGCAACAACCCAAGCUGCUUAAGAGAAAAUGCCAGAUCCAUAACCUGCUGCAUCACAACAGAACUCCUGUUUACUGUCUUUUUGAAGAUAGCCAUUCUUAUAGAUUGCACUGUACACUCUUACGCACCUGGCUUUCUAUGCGUACCUUUUAGUACUGAAGCGUUUUCCCUCCAACUGCUGUUUUAUAAAAUAUCAUGUACAAUCAGCCCUCCGUAUCUGCAGUUCGGCACCUACAGAUUCAACCGACCCAAGAUAGAAAGUAUUAAAAAAAAAAAGUUCCAAAAAAGCAACUUGAUUUUGCUGUGCACCAGCAACUAUUUACGUAUUUACAUUGUAUUUCCAACUAUUCCCACAGUGCAUUUUAUUAGGUGUUACAAGUAAUACGUAAUUACAAGUACUUAAAAUAUUACAAAAGAACGUGCAUAGGUUAUAUUCAAAUACUACGCCACUUCAAAUAAGGACCUUGAGGAUCCUCAGAUUUUGGAAUGGUGCAGGGAUCACAGGACCAAAACCCCAACAGGUUACGGAGGUUAGACUGUACGAGCUAACAGCGGAUUGGUUCCAAUCCUCCAAACCCAAGGCCCCCUCCCUUAGGCCCACAAGCUCUGAGGACCCCUUCUCGGGCUGUCUCCGGUGGUGCCUGUCGGACGAGCCUCGCCCGC
Molecule: long non-coding RNA, 1047 nt
Filed under: Sus scrofa (pig)
Lineage: Eukaryota; Metazoa; Chordata; Mammalia; Artiodactyla; Suidae
Description: lncRNA (ENSSSCG00005000955.1)
Source: RNAcentral